This 2643-nucleotide long non-coding RNA is filed under the name Lactuca sativa (garden lettuce). Its description in RNAcentral is "long non-coding RNA (LSAT_LNC001582)". The record is from RNAcentral. Lineage: Eukaryota; Viridiplantae; Streptophyta; Magnoliopsida; Asterales; Asteraceae.
UUAAUCCAACAUCAUUAAGUAGUAGUUUCUCUAGUGCUUCUCGUGAUUACAACAAAUUUUAUUCAAAGCCCCUAACAUGGUAUUUAAAACCAAUUGAUUUCUAUUUCACUUUUAUGGUUAACAUAAAAUCGCAUGUAAUUACAAUAAAUAUAUUCACAAAUAAGUCCCAUUUAAAUUAUUUCUUAUUCACAAAAAAAAAAAUAAUGCAAUCUUAAAUAUCAGGUAAAACUAAAACUCAAACAAAACAAAUUUAUUCCACAUAUUAAAAAAUCACAAACCUUUUUUUAUUAAAGCAUUUAUCUAUAUUAUAAUUUAAAAUUGUCCAACCUAAGAAAAAUGCACCAAAAAACUUGGCAUAUAGCAAUUUUCGAUUUGGAAUGCCACAAAACAGAGCAAAAUUCUUUUUUAUCGGCUGUAUAAUAACAAUCUUUGUAAAAAAUUGCAUAAUGCAGAUCAUUACCUCUAUAGCCACAGAAAGGUGGUCCCACCUUAUAGUUUGUCACCUUGUAACUUCGUCUACAAUAACUCAAAAAGUAUAUGAACUAAAGGUGUUAACAAAUGAUCUUGUCAGUUUUGUAGAUAAAGUCAUCAAGUAUUCUACUCUCAAGACUUAAAUUUACUCGAAUAAAUUUACUUUUGUACAGUAUUAUUUUUUAAACAAAGUAUGUGAUUGCAAUUUAUUUUCUUUAACAUAAUUUAUAUGUACUAAGUCGACAGAGAAAAUUGAACAAUUUCUACAAUCUGGAUGUACUUCUCGUUCUUCGGUCAUCGUUUUUGUUUGUACAGUAUAUUACUGCAGAUGUUGAAAAAGAACAUAAACCAUCAGAAAAUGUAUUUUCAAUUUUGGCAGGACAAUAAAGAUAAGUUUUCUUAAGUCUCUUCACAUCAAAUUUCAUAUUCUCAUAUCUUAUUGGGUCAUAAAAUUGUAUCUAUGCGAUUAUACUAAAUAUAAAAACAUGCAUAUAUCAAACUGUACAUAUCAGAAAACACUUUGCAGGGCAUAAGAGCUGACCUUGCAACUAAAAAACUAAAAUCGUCACUCUUCCAAAGUAUAUAACACAAAAAGCAACUUGAAAUCUCGUAACCUAAGUAGGUUAUGAGAUUUAGUCGACUAUCAGAAACCAAUCCGUGUUUGCUGGAUAUCAUAAUGAAGUAAAAAAAAAAUCAUAUUUUCAAUUAUCACAAUUAUAAGCAGAUUGGGCAACCAUAGCUUUUGUAACUUCAUCAAAACAGUGAGCAUUAAAAUAUUUAGGCUUACGGAUACAAUUGAACCGACUAUUCUCAACAUUAAACCAAUCAAUUGGUAUAAAAAAUACUCCCCAGAUAAUAGUUCAACAAAAGCCCCAACUUAACAAAAUUGCAUAUUGUUUGUUGGUGAAAAUAUCCAAGAAUCAUCACAGACUCAAAUUUAAUAUCGAUAUUGGCUUAGCUUGGGUGAAAUCUUCAACCCAUAAGAUAAGUUUUUGAUUUCUUACUAACAACCAUUAUAUUAAUAAUAUUCCAAAACUAAAUAGAGAUUAGAGAGGGAAUUACGAUCUGUAUUUUUAGAGAUUAAAGACCUUACCUGUGCAUGAGCAUGUAUUUCUGGUUGACUGAUAUCCGUUCCAAUAUAGGAAAUAGCAUAAUUUUGAGGAUAAUGAUCCGAGUAAAUAGCUAAUGAAAGAAAAACAUAUUCAAUUUUGCGGAUAAUCAUGUGAAAUCAAACACAUGCAGGUUGUAACAAUAACAUAAAUAUACAAAAUAGAAAAAAAUAAAAAAAAAAAAGGUCAAAAUACAACUUACAGAAUAUUGCAUGGACAAACAAUGAACAAAAAUUGAACUUACAGUUUACAUCCAUUAACACAAUUUGUAGUUAUCACAAUUCCAAAACCUACUACUGAAACAAUUUCUUACCAGUGGUAGACUCGUCUCUCUCUAAUUUGCUUUUAAUAUGAAACCAUAGAUUGUCAAAAGAGAUUCCAAAACUAAAAUCAAUAUAAAAAUGAGAACCAGCAAAUCUAGGCAAUCAAAAUCAGAACGCGUAAAUUUAGGAAAUAAAAAUUGACCUUCAAUAUAUCAAAGGGAGAGUUGUAAAUUGGAAAAAAAGUUGAUGCAUUUACCUUAUAAUUGUGUGGUGUUCCAAUCCUCAACAAAACCUAGAUGGUUGGACGAAGAUGUAGGUAUAGAUUUAAAUUUGGAUUAAUGGCUUAACUAAGAGACAAGGUUUGCAGAGAGCGAAAUGAAGAACUGAAAAUAAGGAGCAGUCAUACCAUCCAAAGAAAGCCAGGGAAGAUAAGAGCGUCAGAGUGAAGGUCCGAAAUGGAUUAUCAGUUAUCAAAACCUAAAUUAGAAUAUGGGGAGCAAACAGUUCAUAGAAAACCGGUGGUAUGGAGUUAGGGCAUCAAUAUGAAACAACGAUUAUGCUUCUUAUCUGCAAAGAAACCCAUCAAUUGAUCAAUUAUAGAGGAGCGGUGGCGAAACGGGCAAAUGUUGAUAUAUUGGGUUGUUAGGUAGAGAGAGGUGAUGGAGGUAGUGUAUUGAGAAAGUAAGGAAGCAUUAGAGGAAAGGAAUCAUUGGAGGAGGUGAAUGGAAGCGUGGAGAUGAAGAGAUUACUUUUCAAACGGUGGCACAUUGUCCCAUUUAGUGGAAUUUAGUGGAACCAUG